RNAcentral lists this transfer RNA (77 nucleotides) under Bacillus cereus. RNAcentral's name for it is "tRNA-Met". It matches the Rfam family "tRNA". From Rfam's summary of the family: Transfer RNA (tRNA) molecules are approximately 80 nucleotides in length. Their secondary structure includes four short double-helical elements and three loops (D, anti-codon, and T loops). The record is from RNAcentral. Lineage: Bacteria; Bacillati; Bacillota; Bacilli; Caryophanales; Bacillaceae.
AGGGGGGGGGAGCAGCACGGGAGCUCGUCGGGCUCAUAACCCGAAGGUCGCAGGUUCAAAUCCUGUCCCCGCAACCA